This 445-nucleotide ribosomal RNA is filed under the name uncultured Lactobacillus sp. RNAcentral's name for it is "bacterial SSU rRNA". It matches the Rfam family "Bacterial small subunit ribosomal RNA", at positions 28 to 433 of the family's 1533-position model. Lineage: Bacteria; Bacillati; Bacillota; Bacilli; Lactobacillales; Lactobacillaceae. The record is from RNAcentral.
GAUGAACGCCGGCGGUGUGCCUAAUACAUGCAAGUCGAACGCGUUGGCCCAACUGAUUGAUUGUGCUUGCACAGGAUUGACGUUGGUUUCCCAACGAGUGGCGGACGGGUGAGUAACACGUAGGCAACCUGCCCCGAAGCGGGGGACAACAUUUGGAAACAAGUGCUAAUACCGCAUAACAACUUUGACCGCCUGGUCAAAGCUUAAAGGAUGGUUUCGGCUAUCACUUCGGGAUGGGCCUGCGGCGCAUUAGCUUGUUGGUGGGGUAACGGCCUACCAAGGCGAUGAUGCGUAGCCGAGUUGAGAGACUGAUCGGCCACAAUGGGGACUGAGACACGGGCCCAUACUCCUACGGGGAGGCAGCAGUAGGGAAUCUUCCACAAUGGGCGCAAGCCUGAUGGAGCAACACCGCGUGAGUGAAGAAGGGUUUCGGCUCGUAAAGCUC